AAGAUAGGUGAGAAUCCUAUCCACCGUAUGACUAAGGUUUCCUGGGGAAGGCUCGUCCUCCCAGGGUUAGUCGGGACCUAAGCCGAGGCCGAGAGGCGUAGGCGAUGGAUAACAGGUUGAUAUUCCUGUACUAGUUAAACUUGUUUGAACAAUGGAGGGACGCAGUAGGCUAAGGAAAGCACCCAGCUGGAAAAGGGUGUCCAAGCAGUAAGUCUGAAGUAGAGUCAAAUGCUUUACUUCUUAAGGACAAGCUGUGAUGGGGAGCGAAAUUUAAGUAGCGAAGUUCCUGACGUCACACUGCCGAGAAAAGCUUCUAGUUAGAGUUUAGCUACCCGUACCGCAAACCGACACAGGUAGUCGAGGAGAGUAUCCUAAGGUGAGCGAGAGAACUCUCGUUAAGGAACUCGGCAAAAUGACCCCGUAACUUCGGGAGAAGGGGUGCUGAUCGCAAGAUCAGCCGCAGUGAAAAGGCCCAGGCGACUGUUUAUCAAAAACACAGGUUUCUGCAAAAUCGUAAGAUGACGUAUAGGGGCUGACGCCUGCCCGGUGCUGGAAGGUUAAGGGAAUGAGUUAGCGUAAGCGAAGCUCUGAACUGAAGCCCCAGUAAACGGCGGCCGUAACUAUAACGGUCCUAAGGUAGCGAAAUUCCUUGUCGGGUAAGUUCCGACCCGCACGAAAGGCGUAACGAUCUGGGCACUGUCUCAACGAGAGACUCGGUGAAAUUAUAAUACCCGUGAAGAUGCGGGUUACCCGCGACAGGACGGAAAGACCCCAUGGAGCUUUACUGUAACUUGAUAUUGAGUGUUUGUACAGCUUGUACAGGAUAGGUAGGAGCCGUAGAAUCCGGAACGCUAGUUUCGGAGGAGGCAAUGGUGGGAUACUACCCUCGUUGUAUGAACCCUCUAACCCGCGCCACUAAUCGUGGCGGGAGACAGUGUCUGGUGGGCAGUUUGACUGGGGCGGUCGCCUCCUAAAGAGUAACGGAGGCGCCCAAAGGUUCCCUCAGAAUGGUUGGAAAUCAUUCGUAGAGUGUAAAGGCAGAAGGGAGCUUGACUGCGAGACAGACAGGUCGAGCAGGGACGAAAGUCGGGCUUAGUGAUCCGGUGGUACCGUAUGGAAGGGCCAUCGCUCAACGGAUAAAAGCUACCCUGGGGAUAACAGGCUUAUCUCCCCCAAGAGUUCACAUCGACGGGGAGGUUUGGCACCUCGAUGUCGGCUCAUCGCAUCCUGGGGCUGUAGUCGGUCCCAAGGGUUGGG
Molecule: ribosomal RNA, 1257 nt
Filed under: Pediococcus pentosaceus
Lineage: Bacteria; Bacillati; Bacillota; Bacilli; Lactobacillales; Lactobacillaceae
Description: bacterial LSU rRNA
Rfam family: Bacterial large subunit ribosomal RNA
Source: RNAcentral